RNAcentral lists this ribosomal RNA (887 nucleotides) under uncultured marine archaeon. Its description in RNAcentral is "SSU rRNA". It matches the Rfam family "Archaeal small subunit ribosomal RNA", at positions 455 to 1346 of the family's 1478-position model. The record is from RNAcentral.
GUGCCAGCAGCCGCGGUAAUACCGGCAGCUCAAGUGGUCGUCGCUUUUAUUGGGCCUAAAACGUCCGUAGCCUGUUUGGUAAAUCUGUGGGUAAAUCAACCCGCUCAACGGGUUGAAUUCUGCGAGCACGGCCAGACUUGGGACCGGGAGAGGUGUGGGGUACUCUCAGGGUAGGGGUAAAAUCCUGUCAUCCUGAGAGGACCACCUGUUGCGAAGGCGCCACACUAGAACGGAUCCGACGGUCAGGGACGAAACCUAGGGGCACGAACCGGAUUAGAUACCCGGGUAGUCCUAGGUGUAAACGCUGUGGACUUGAUGUUGGGGGCGCUCCGAGCGCUCUCAGUGUCGAAGCGAAGGUGAUAAGUCCACUGCCUGGGGAGUACGGUCGCAAGGCUGAAACUUAAAGGAAUAGGCGGGGGAGCACUGCAACCUGAGGAUUGUGCGGUUUAAUUGGAUUCAACGCCGGAAAACUCACCAUGGCCGACGGACAAAUGAAAGCCAGUGUAACGAGCUUGCUGGAUUGUUCGAGAGGUAUUGCAUGGCCGCCGUCAGUUCGUACCGCAAGGCGUUCUGUUAAGUCAGAUAACGAACGAGACCCUCAUCCCUAUUUGCCAACUGCGUCCCCGGACGUAGCGCACUAUAGGGAGACCGCUGUCGAUAAGGCAGAUGAAGGCGAGGGCAACGGUAGGUCAGUAUGAUCCGAAUGCCAUGGGCUACACGCGCAAUACAAAGGACGGGACAAUGGGCUGCAACUCCGAGAGGAAAGACGCUAUCCCGAAACCCGUUCGUAGUUCGGAUUGAGGGCUGUAAUUCGCCCUCAUGAAGCUGGAUUAGGUAGUAAUCGCGUCUCAUAGGCGCGGUGAAUAUGCCCCUGCUCUUGCACUCAC